GUGAGGAAUUUUCCGCAAUGGGCGAAAGCCUGACGGAGCAAUGCCGCGUGAAGGAUGAAGGCCUAUGGGUUGUAAACUUCUUUUCUCAGAAAAGAAUUAUGACGGUAUCUGAGGAAUAAGCAUCGGCUAACUCUGUGCCAGCAGCCGCGGUAAGACAGAGGAUGCAAGCGUUAUCCGGAAUGAUUGGGCGUAAAGCGUCUGUAGGUUGUUUAAAAAGAAUUCUGUCAAAGAUUAGGGCUUAACCCUAGAUAGGCAGAAUAAACUUUUAAGCUAGAGUUUGGUAGAGGCAGAGGGAAUUCCCGGUGGAGCGGUGAAAUGCGUAGAUAUCGGGAGGAACACCAAAGGCGAAGGCACUCUGCUGGGCCAAUACUAACACUGAGAGACGAAAGCGAGGGGAGCAAAUGGGAUUAGAAACCCGGGUAGUCC
This 426-nucleotide ribosomal RNA is filed under the name uncultured bacterium. RNAcentral describes it as "bacterial SSU rRNA". It matches the Rfam family "Bacterial small subunit ribosomal RNA", at positions 354 to 796 of the family's 1533-position model. The record is from RNAcentral.